AUGAAGGUGCUAAGCUAGAACUGCCGGGGGCUCGGGCAACCUCGGACAGUUCAGGAGCUGGUAUGCCUAGUGCAUACUCACAAGCCCAAGCUCGUCUUCCUAGCUGAAACGAGACAGUGCGAGAAUAAACGAGACGGUAUGAAAUUGAGACUAGGUUUGAAACAUUGCCUUACCCAGGAUGGUAAGGGCAAAGGGGCUGGUAUUGCACUGUACUGGGACGAUUCAAUAAAAAUAAAAGUUUUGUCGUAUGGGCCGAGGUAUUUUGAUGUGAUUGUAUCUGAACCCCACAGUCCUAAAUGGCGGGGAACAUUUGUGUAUGGUGUACCAAAGGGCCAAGAUCGGCAUCUCAUGUGGAGUCAGCUUCAAAACAUUGCACCAAAAUCAAAUGAACCCUGGCUAAUGGUGGGUGACUUCAAUGAGACCAUGUGGCAACAUGAGCAUUUUUCCUAUGUGAAGAGGUUAGAGAGGAAGAUGUCUAACUUUAGAGAUGUCCUCUCCUUCUACGAGCUGCAUGACUUGGGUUACAAAGGUCCAAGUUGGACUUAUGAUAAUAAGCAAGGGGUGAGCAAGAACAUCAAAGCUAGAUUAGACAGGGUUGUGGCCUCACAAGCUUGGUGA
Molecule: ribosomal RNA, 618 nt
Filed under: Triticum aestivum (bread wheat)
Lineage: Eukaryota; Viridiplantae; Streptophyta; Magnoliopsida; Poales; Poaceae
Description: partial small subunit ribosomal RNA
Source: RNAcentral